CCAACAGGGAUUGCCUCAGUAACGGCGAGUGAAGCGGCAACAGCUCAAAUUUGAAAGCUGGCUCUUGCAGAGCCCGCAUUGUAAUUUGUAGAGGAUGCUUCAGGUGCGGCGCUGGUCUAAGUUCUUUGGAACAAGACGUCAUAGAGGGUGAGAAUCCCGUAUGUGACUGGCUGCCUGUGCCUGUGUGAAGCUCCUUCAACGAGUCGAGUUGUUUGGGAAUGCAGCUCAAAAUGGGUGGUGUACUUCAUCUAAAGCUAAAUAUUGGCCAGAGACCGAUAGCGCACAAGUAGAGUGAUCGAAAGAUGAAAAGCACUUUGGAAAGAGAGUUAAACAGUACGUGAAAUUGUUGAAAGGGAAGCGCUUGCAAUCAGACUUGCGCGGCGUCGAUCAACCUGGGUUCUCCCUGGUGCACUCGGCGCUGCUCAGGCCAGCAUCAGUUUCGGCGGUUGGAUAAAGGCCUAGGGAACGUGGGUUACUUCGGUGACUGUUAUAGCCCUAGGUGCAAUGCAGCCUGCUGGGACUGAGGACCGCGCUUCGGCUAGGAUGCUGGCGUAAUGGUUGUAAGCGACCCGUCUUGAAACACGGACCAAGGAGUCUAACAUCUAUGCGAGUUUUUGGGUGUCAAACCCAUAAGCGUAAUGAAAGUGAACGGAGGUGAGAACCCUUUAGGGUGCAUCAUCGACCGAUCCUGAUGUCUUCGGAUGGAUUUGAGUAAGAGCAUAGCUGUUGGGACCCGAAAGAUGAUGAUCUAUACCUGAAUAGGGUGAAGCCAGAGGAAACUCUGGUGGAGGCUCGCAGCGGUUCUGACGUGCAAAUCGAUCGUCAAAUUUGGGUAUAGGGGCGAAAGACUAAUCGAA
RNAcentral lists this ribosomal RNA (857 nucleotides) under Cudonia sp. X. H. Wang 2324. RNAcentral's name for it is "eukaryotic LSU rRNA". It matches the Rfam family "Eukaryotic large subunit ribosomal RNA", at positions 65 to 939 of the family's 3401-position model. The record is from RNAcentral. RNAcentral also lists the same sequence under 1 other name. Lineage: Eukaryota; Fungi; Ascomycota; Leotiomycetes; Rhytismatales; Cudoniaceae.